UGGAAUUAACUGCAUUGCACUCAGUUGUUUUGCUAUAACCAAGCUGUGUUGUUGUGUGCUAGAUUUUGAUACAAAAGUAUUACAUAGCUUUACUUCUAAUGCAGAUGGUGAAACUUAGAAAUACACUGUCCUGCCUACUGCAUUAUGCUGUCAGCUCUUGGACGUCAUUGUCUGGAUGAAGAUGAUGCUUGGACUGUAACUUCCAGAAUUUGUCAUUGAAGCAAACAGUUUCAGAAGAUGCAUAAGGAGAACACACAGAACAAUGGUGCAAACUUUCCAGUCAAAAUUGGAAAGCAAAACAGGGAUUAGUUCUCAGCAACAAAAAUGUAAAGAAAUGGAGUGGAACCCUGAGGAGCAGAUGGAGCUGGGAGAGAUGCAUGGAUAUAUCUACAUUGAGAAACCCCUUGGAAUAUCUUUGCUGUUAGGACAGAGUUGUCUUUGCUGUUGUAGGUUGCCAGAUGUUUAGAGGGGAGGCAGGU
Molecule: long non-coding RNA, 479 nt
Filed under: Calidris pygmaea (Spoon-billed sandpiper)
Lineage: Eukaryota; Metazoa; Chordata; Aves; Charadriiformes; Scolopacidae
Description: lncRNA (ENSCPGG00000017192.1)
Source: RNAcentral